Molecule: long non-coding RNA, 553 nt
Organism: Ochotona curzoniae (black-lipped pika)
Lineage: Eukaryota; Metazoa; Chordata; Mammalia; Lagomorpha; Ochotonidae
Exons: 4
Source: RefSeq, a predicted model, not a curated record
UUCUGAGAACUAAUUUGCUAUUCGGUGACAUAAGAGGGGGAGUGCGCUUUGCUUCCUCGGGGUCUGAGGUUGAUUCCUGUUCUCCUACCCAUAAACUCAGCUCCUCCAGCUCCACACACAAAAGGGGAGCGACAGAGUUUGAACCAUUGGAAAAUACAGAUACGUUGUAGGUUGAGAGGAGCGAGUAAAAAGGGGGCAAAAAAAAAAAAAUAAACACCACAGCAGCUCUUUCCAGCUAGAAUAUUAGGCACCACGAGAAAAAUAUUUACCCAGCAAUUUUCGGACUGCGAGUGGUGGGUUUACUAUCUCUGUUAUGGUUCACUCUUAGAGGAAAUGUCUUGUCACCAGAAACCUGUGCCUAUGGAUGUGUUUACAUGGAAAGAAAAGGACCAGAACAGGGGGCAUAGAGAAAGAUGAUAUUGAAAAUAUUGUAAAGAUAGACACUUUUAGACAGUGGGCAUCUCCCUGAAUCCAGCAGAGCUGUUUAAUGGGAUUAAAGACAGGCCUGCCUUGAAUAUGCUCAGAUUCUUUUUAAAUCAUCCUUACAAAGCGA